RNAcentral lists this long non-coding RNA (1656 nucleotides) under Sus scrofa (pig). RNAcentral describes it as "lncRNA (ENSSSCG00065042145.1)". The record is from RNAcentral. Lineage: Eukaryota; Metazoa; Chordata; Mammalia; Artiodactyla; Suidae.
AGGCACAGGAGAAAUCAAUAAAGGGCCUUGCCCCACAGAGCUCUCCUCUAGUGGAGGAGCCAAUUAACUUCCAACCUUAUCACCACUCAUUCCUUCAUUCCCGCAAAUACUGAGCGCCUGCAAAAUGCUCUGCACUAUUCUGGAUGCGGGAGAUGAAAACUACCCUGGUUCUUGUCCAGUGGGGUAAAUAGGAAGCUGCAAUGGAGUUCCCAUCGUGGUUCAGCGGAAAUGAAUCUGACCAGCAUCCAUGAGGACAUGGCUUUAAUCCCUGGCCUCGCUUAGUGGGUUAAGGAUUUGGCAUUGUGGUGAGCUGUGGUGUAGGUCACAGACGCAGCUCGGAUUCCGCGUUGCUGUGGCUGUGGCGUAUGAUGGCAACUGUAGCUCUGAUUCGACCCCUAGCCUGGGAACCUCCAUAUGCCAUGGGUGUGCCUACCAUCUCUUGUGCCCUCGGGGCCAUGGGAGCUGCUUGCGUGCAUGCCUGAGAGUCCUUCUUGCCGUGGGAACCGAGGAAUCACUCAGGCCCCAGGCUGCCAGGUGGGGAAACUGAGGCCCAGACAGAGUGCAUCUUGUCCAGAGGAUCUGGUCAGCAGCUCACCAGGCGUGAACCCUCUGAGUCACCCUGCUGGGUGUGGAGGACAGGCACAAUGGAAGAAGAGCCCCUCUCCCUCCACAUCAGAAGGCUACUAGUCUGAUGGUGGAGGCUCUGGACCCACCAGGAGUGAAGGAUUUCUGGCUGAGCCUGGAGCUGGAUCCUUCUCUCUCUCAUCUUUCCUGGCCCAGGCCCUGGGUUCUGACCAUCCUUGGACUGGCUUCCUGCACUCACUCACUCACUUGGUCACUGCUCCAGCCAGGCCACACCAAGGACACAGAGAUGAAUGAGGACAGGGCCCUGGACUCUUGUGGAAACACUGGAGGUCAAAUUAGGGAGUAUAUGUCUGAGCUGAAAAGGGGGCCUCUGCCACCAUGGAAGUGCUCCACCCCCAAGGCUAUCGUGAACAAAGGCCCCCUUUGAUGGAACCUGGGCCUUUUGCAGGUAAUCCAAGCACUUCUGGGGAGCUCACCUUUCCCUAGCUGUGGAUGAACAAAUCAGAACAUUGUGAGAAGUCAGAUGUCUUCUUCCUUUUGAGGACUGCACACAAGGGAUCCCCCUUCACCCACCUGGGUUUGGCCCACAAGGCUGGGUCCCUUCCUCCAUGUUCCCUUCACGUGUUCCAAGAUUUGGAUCAUACAGUAAAGGAGAGAUGAAAGAGCAGUGAAAGAUGUACCCAUCCAUGACGGAGGAAACUGACCUGGGCCUGGUCCCAGGACUUGCUGACACAUGCUACAACGUGGAUGAACCUUGAAAAUGUCAUGUUAGGUGAAGAAGCCAGUCAUAAAAGACCUCUUAGAGGUCAGAGUUCCUGUCGUGGCUCAGUGGUUAACGAAUCCAGCUAGGAACCACGAGGUUGCGAGUUUGAUCCCCGGCCUUGCUCAGUGGGUUAAGGAUCCAGUGUUGCCGUGAGCUGUGGUGUAGGUCACAGACGCGGCUCGGAUCCUGAGUUGCUGUGGCUGUGGUGUAGGCCAGUGGCUACAGCUCCAAAUACACCUCUAGCCUGGGAACUUCCAUAUGCCGUGGGUGCAGCCCUAGAAAAAGGCAAAAAGACAAAAAAAAAAAAA